GUUUGAUCCUGGCUCAGAUUGAACGCUGGCGGCAGGCUUAACACAUGCAAGUCGAACGAUGAUUAUCUAGCUUGCUAGAUAUGAUUAGUGGCGGACGGGUGAGUAACAUUUAGGAAUCUGCCUAGUAGUGGGGGAUAGCUCGGGGAAACUCGAAUUAAUACCGCAUACGACCUACGGGUGAAAGGGGGCGCAAGCUCUUGCUAUUAGAUGAGCCUAAAUCAGAUUAGCUAGUUGGUGGGGUAAAGGCCCACCAAGGCGACGAUCUGUAACUGGUCUGAGAGGAUGAUCAGUCACACCGGAACUGAGACACGGUCCGGACUCCUACGGGAGGCAGCAGUGGGGAAUAUUGGACAAUGGGGGCAACCCUGAUCCAGCCAUGCCGCGUGUGUGAAGAAGGCCUUUUGGUUGUAAAGCACUUUAAGCAGGGAGGAGAGGCUAAUGGUUAAUACCCAUUAGAUUAGACGUUACCUGCAGAAUAAGCACCGGCUAACUCUGUGCCAGCAGCCGCGGUAAUACAGAGGGUGCGAGCGUUAAUCGGAAUUACUGGGCGUAAAGCGAGUGUAGGUGGCUCAUUAAGUCACAUGUGAAAUCCCCGGGCUUAACCUGGGAACUGCAUGUGAUACUGGUGGUGCCUAGAAUAUGUGAGAGGGAAGUAGAAUUCCAGGUGUAGCGGUGAAAUGCGUAGAGAUCUGGAGGAAUACCGAUGGCRAAGGCAGCUUCCUGGCAUAAUAUUGACACUGAGAUUCGAAAGCGUGGGUARCAAACAGGAUUAGAUACCCUGGUAGUCCACGCCGUAAACGAUGUCUACUAGCCGUUGGGGUCCUUGAGACUUUAGUGGCGCAGUUAACGCGAUAAGUAGACCGCCUGGGGAGUACGGCCGCAAGGUUAAAACUCAAAUGAAUUGACGGGGGCCCGCACAAGCGGUGGAGCAUGUGGUUUAAUUCGAUGCAACGCGAAGAACCUUACCUGGUCUUGACAUAGUGAGAAUCCUGUAGAGAUGCGGGAGUGCCUUCGGGAAUUCACAUACAGGUGCUGCAUGGCUGUCGUCAGCUCGUGUCGUGAGAUGUUGGGUUAAGUCCCGCAACGAGCGCAACCCUUUUCCUUAUUUGCCAGCGGGUUAAGCCGGGAACUUUAAGGAUACUGCCAGUGACAAACUGGAGGAAGGCGGGGACGACGUCAAGUCAUCAUGGCCCUUACGACCAGGGCUACACACGUGCUACAAUGGUAGGUACAGAGGGUUGCUACACAGCGAUGUGAUGCUAAUCUCAAAAAGCCUAUCGUAGUCCGGAUUGGAGUCUGCAACUCGACUCCAUGAAGUCGGAA
RNAcentral lists this ribosomal RNA (1323 nucleotides) under Moraxella sp. RNAcentral describes it as "bacterial SSU rRNA". The record is from RNAcentral. Lineage: Bacteria; Pseudomonadati; Pseudomonadota; Gammaproteobacteria; Moraxellales; Moraxellaceae.